GCAGCACGNCGCGUNGGUGAUGAAGGCCUUCGGGUCGUAAAGCCCUGUCAGUGGGAAGAAAGGCUGGAGNGGAAAGGUUUCAGGUUUGACGGUACCCACCAGAGGAAGCACCGGCUAACUCCGUGCCAGCAGCCGCGGUAAUACGGAGGGGGCGAGCGUUUUUCGGAAUUACUGGGCGUAAAGCGCGUGUAGGCGGGGGGGCAAGUCUGAUGUGAAAGCCCUGGGCUUAACCUGGGAAGCCCAUUGGAAACUGUUUUUCUUGAGUACGGGAGAGGAAGGGGGAAUUCCCGGUGUAGAGGUGAAAUUCGUAGAGAUCGGGAGGAAUACCAGUGGCGUAGGCGCCCUUCUGGACGGUAACUGACGCUAAGACGCGAAAGCGA
This 380-nucleotide ribosomal RNA is filed under the name uncultured Syntrophobacter sp. RNAcentral's name for it is "bacterial SSU rRNA". It matches the Rfam family "Bacterial small subunit ribosomal RNA", at positions 388 to 762 of the family's 1533-position model. Lineage: Bacteria; Pseudomonadati; Thermodesulfobacteriota; Syntrophobacteria; Syntrophobacterales; Syntrophobacteraceae. The record is from RNAcentral.